RNAcentral lists this long non-coding RNA (725 nucleotides) under Ananas comosus (pineapple). Its description in RNAcentral is "long non-coding RNA (ACOM_LNC005020)". The record is from RNAcentral. Lineage: Eukaryota; Viridiplantae; Streptophyta; Magnoliopsida; Poales; Bromeliaceae.
AAUUAACAAGCUAUUGCUUAGGCUUUGUUUGGGAUUGCAGCAAGAUUACGUUACGUACGAUGAGAAAGUACGAUAAAAAAAUAUUCUGUUUAUUUCUGUACGUAAUAUUGCGCAUAUUGCGAUGAGUCGGUUAUAAUAUAUUUUCUACGGUCUUAUCAGAGAACGCAGAAGUAUAUUUCGAUAUACUUUUUUUUUAACUCCAUUUUAUCUAACAGCGUCACAUAGAUUUUAAUACCAAACUAAGCCUUAGUGGUACUAGGGCUCAUUUGGCCCUACUUUUAUCUCUGUUUUAGGCCUCUUUUUUAUCAUAUUUAUUUUUUAUUUCGAUAAAUUACAUAAACUUUCGUAUAAAUAUUUAUUUUAAUUUCUUAAAAUUUAUAUUUUAGAUAUAGCAUGCUAAAUCAUUUUUACGAUAUUCGAAAAAUUAUAAUUUUAAUCUUAAAAUUAUGUCUGUUUCUUAUAAUUUUAAUCCGUUAGGGUUCCAUCACUAUUAUGUCUGUUUCUUAUUAUUUAUGCCGAAAAUACCUUCAAAAUAACAUAAAUAUAUUAAAAAAUUAUUUUUUUUAUAAAAAAAAAUAAGAAUAAUUUGGUCAUUUUGCCCUCUUUAUUAAUGCCGUACCCUUUGAAAAUAUAUUUGAAAUUUUAAGAGGGCAAAAUGUAAAUUUUUGAAAGUUAAAGAGGAAAAGUGAAAAAGUAGGUGUUUACAAGAAGUUUUCUGUAUUUUA